GCAGUGGUGAUUCAGUGGUAGAAUUCUCACUUCCUGUCUGGGAGACCUGAGUUCGAUCUCCAGCCAGUGCA
This 71-nucleotide transfer RNA is filed under the name Loxodonta africana (African savanna elephant). It matches the Rfam family "tRNA". From Rfam's summary of the family: Transfer RNA (tRNA) molecules are approximately 80 nucleotides in length. Their secondary structure includes four short double-helical elements and three loops (D, anti-codon, and T loops). Lineage: Eukaryota; Metazoa; Chordata; Mammalia; Proboscidea; Elephantidae. The record is from Rfam by way of RNAcentral.